ACUGCAAUCUAAGGAUAAGUUUAGAUCUGAAGUCAGAACCAUAUUACAUUCUCUCUCUUCCGACAUCGUUACUGAGAAAUUCCAACGCACAAAACCGAAUGAGUUUGCUUUGAGAACUAAAAUGGCUGACACCGCCGGCUCCGGUCACCGGCGGGUUAUCACGCUCAUCUCUUCCCUUAUCUCCCUCUCUCUCUCCAUCAGAGUCUUCGCCGGAAAGUGGCAACUUAUUCGGAGUAGGCUGGAGGAGCUCUGUUCGGCAUUCGUUGCCGGCGACUCCACUUCACUGUCAAGCGAGAUCCCGGAGGUAACAGGCACGGUGGAGGAGUGCCACGAGCUGGCAAGGCGGUGCUUGGAUCUGUCCUACAGCGGGAAGCUCUUGAUGCAGAGCGACUUAGACGUGACUUUGGGGAAGUUGGAAGCGCACGUGAAGAAGCUAUCCGAGAUAUUCAAGAAGCGUGUGUCGAUGCAUGGCUACGCUGUUGUGGUUUCAAGGCCUGGUUUUGGAGCUUGCAAAGAUGACAUGAGGUUCUACUUAAGGGAUUUAAUGACUCGAAUGAAGGUUGGUGAUUUGGGUAUCAGGAAGCAAGCGUUGAUGAACCUGCAUGAAGUUGUUGUGGAGGAUGAUAAGUAUGUGAAAUUGGUUGUUGAGGCUUCUGAGUUUGUUCACUUGUUGGUGGAUUUUCUGGGUUGUGAUGAGGUUGAGAUUGUUGAGGAGGCUGCCAAGGUUGUUUCUGUCGUUGCGGGUUUUGAUUAUUAUAAAGGGGUUUUGGUUGGUGCUGGAGUUAUUGGUCCUUUAAUUCGGAUUUUGGAAUGUGGGAGUGAAAUGGGAAAGAUUGCUGCUGUGAGAUGUUUGUGUAGACUGACUGAGAAUUCGGAUAAUGCUUGGAGUGUUUCAGCUCAUGGAGGUGUAACAGUCUUGUUGAGGAUUUGUGAGAGCGGAGAGUGUAAAGGAGAAUUGAUUGGUCCUGCUUGUGGGGUGUUGCGGAAUCUUUGUGGGGUUGAGGAAAUCAAGAGGUUUAUGGUUGAGGAGGGUGUGGUUUCCACGUUUGUGAAGCUUGUGAGGUCUAAGGAUGAAGUAGUUCAAGUUAGUUCUAUCGAGUUGAUUCAAAACAUUGCCUCUGGUGAUGAGUUGGUUAGGCAGAUGGUGGUUAGAGAAGGAGGGGUUCGUGUUCUUCUGCGUGUUUUGGAUCCAUUGUGGACGUGCUCGUCUAAAUCAAGAGAGGUUGUGAUGAGGGCUAUUGAGAAUUUGUGUUUUUCUUCGUCCAGUUGUGUUAAUCUUUUGCUGAGUUAUGGCUUUGUGGAUCAGUUGAUGUAUUAUGUUCGAAAUGGGGAGGUAUCAAUUCAGGAGUUGGGGUUGAAGGUAGCGUUUAGAUUGUGUGAAGCAUCGGAGGAGGCCAAGAAGGCAUUAGGUGAUGCCGGCUUCAUGGCCGAGCUUGUGAAGUUUCUAAAUGCGGAAUCGUUUGAAGUUCGUGAAAUGGCAGCAGAGGCACUCUCUAGCAUGGUUACGGUGGCUAAAAAUAGGAAGAGGUUUGUGCAGGAUGACCAAAACAUUACCCUUCUUCUGCAAUUGCUGGAUCCAGGGGAGGGAAAUUCUGGUAAUAAAAAGUUGUUGAUCUCUAUCUUGAUGUCACUAACAAGCUGCAACAGUGGCAGGAAGAAAAUUGUGAGUUCCGGGUAUGCCAAAAACAUAGAGAGGCUUGCAGAAGCUGAGGUUUCUUCCGAUGCCAAGAGGCUCGUCAGGAAGCUAUCCACAAACCGGUUCCGCAGUAUGUUGAGUGGAAUCUGGCACUCUUGAAUUUUCCUUAUGGUAAUUGAGAAAGUACAACACGCCAAUUCUUUGCAUGCUCGUUGCCUGGAGCGGAGGAAACAGCAAGCUUCUUGCCUGUGUCGUGAUUGCUGAAAAGAGUGUUGGGUGGCAUUUAUUAUAUACCAUGUAUAUGCAACAAAUGCAAGAGGAGUAAUUAAUGGAGAACAUGUGAAAAUGUGAAUCAAGAAAUGUAGUAUAGUAUUGGGUUGAGGAAGGCACAGAAAACCCAUGUUUCUUCCAAUUUCCAAGAUCUCAUCUCCAAUGAAUGAUUUCAUUGAUUGUGUUUGUUGAAUGUCUGAAACUUUCUUUCGAUGUUGUGCUGUAAUAUAUCUAAAAGAAUCUGAUGGUAAACAAAGC
RNA transcript from Vigna angularis (adzuki bean), 2164 nucleotides. RefSeq lists it as uncharacterized. The transcript is spliced from 3 exons. NCBI's taxonomy places the organism in Eukaryota, Viridiplantae, Streptophyta, Magnoliopsida, Fabales, Fabaceae. The record is from RefSeq and is a predicted model, not a curated record.